AUGGCGGCACGUCACCGGCGCCACCGCGUCGAGGCACCGAAGCCAGCAUGGCUCGUCACGAUCAAGGCCACGCCGCCGGUGCCGGCGAGGGGCGACGCUGCCAAGAGGCUCGUCGCGCCCACUCGCUCGCCGAUCCUGCUGUCGCCGUCGGUGUGGCAGAAGGCGCAGCUCGACAAGAAGGGCAUGGCCGUCGGCGACCGUGGCGACACCGGGGUUGCGCCAGCGCCGGCAUCGCCGAGGAUCGGCUGCAUGGGGCAGGUCAAGGGCGCACGGAGAUGCCCGAGAGCGCGCUGCCCGGCCUCCUCGAGGGGACCGGCGGCGUCGGGCCUCCCAUGCGGCAGCCUGGCGGGGCUACUGAUGGGGCUGUUCCGGCGGCGGUCGACGGGGAGGAAGUCGCGCGCAUACUCCAAGGUCAGGGACGUGGCGAGUGACUCGUCGUCGUCAGGGAGCGCACGGCGUGGUGCCCGUGCGCCACGCCCGCUUGAGCUCGACCCGCCGUUGCCGGUGCCGGCGCCGGUGGUGAGACGGCCGGCCGUGGAAGAGAACGCGCCCAGCCUUUGGGGGCGGCGGCGCGGCGGCGCAAAGGUCCUAGAGGUCACCUCCGGCGCGGUCGGCCCCGCCUCCAGUCUCCUCCGGCGCGCCGGCCUGUCGCCCAUCGCCUCCACUGUGCCGGCCGGGUGCCCCGUCGCCCAGGCGCGGUCGGCCCGUCUCCCCUUGCCUCCGCCGCGCCGGCCUCCCGUCGCCACCUCCACCAGAAGCGUCUGCCGCCCAUCGACCACGGACUCCCACCAGCCGGCCACCAUACACCGCGGCCCAAGCUCUUCUCCCUUUCCUCAUUUAUUUCCCUCUCACAAGAAGUUCUCUCUUCCGCAGGAGCUGGCCAUGGAGGUCCUUCACGCUGCCGCCGCCCAAGCUCUUGAAGUCGCGCACGACCCUGCAGAUCCGGUCGAGGUCGAGCAGCCAUCGCCGGAUCUGAUGCCCGUGACCCCGCCGGACCUCCCUGCCUCUCCAUGUCAGCACUGCCGCAUCCCAACCACACCGCCGGCGCUGCCUUGCCCAGGAGAAGACGAAGACUCGAUUGCUUUUUUACAAUUUUUUGUAAGGAAUGAUAGUUGGGUCAUGAGGAGUACCCAACCAUAA
Molecule: ribosomal RNA, 1140 nt
Filed under: Triticum aestivum (bread wheat)
Lineage: Eukaryota; Viridiplantae; Streptophyta; Magnoliopsida; Poales; Poaceae
Description: partial small subunit ribosomal RNA
Source: RNAcentral